AACGCGAAGAACCUUACCUGGGCUCGAACGGCUUCGGAAAGCCGGUGGAAACACUGGUUCUCCCGCAAGGGAUCGGAGUCGAGGUGCUGCAUGGCUGUCGUCAGCUCGUGUCGUGAGAUGUUGGGUUAAGUCCCGCAACGAGCGCAACCCUUGUCCUGUGUUGGCAUGCCGAAAGGCGCAACUCUCAGGAGACCGCCAGCGAUAAGUUGGAGGAAGGUGGGGAUGACGUCAAGUCAUCAUGGCCUUUAUGUCCAGGGCUACACACGUGCUACAAUGGGCGGUACAAAGCGCUGCAAACCCGCGAGGGGGAGCUAAUCGCAAAAAACCGUUCUCAGUUCGGAUUGCAGGCUGCAACUCGCCUGCAUGAAGCUGGAAUCGCUAGUAAUGGCAUAUCAGAACGAUGCCGUGAAUACGUUCCCGGGCCUUGUA
RNAcentral lists this ribosomal RNA (429 nucleotides) under uncultured Acidobacterium sp. RNAcentral describes it as "bacterial SSU rRNA". It matches the Rfam family "Bacterial small subunit ribosomal RNA", at positions 958 to 1385 of the family's 1533-position model. Lineage: Bacteria; Pseudomonadati; Acidobacteriota; Terriglobia; Terriglobales; Acidobacteriaceae. The record is from RNAcentral.